This 523-nucleotide ribosomal RNA is filed under the name uncultured bacterium. RNAcentral's name for it is "partial 16S ribosomal RNA". It matches the Rfam family "Bacterial small subunit ribosomal RNA", at positions 28 to 523 of the family's 1533-position model. The record is from RNAcentral.
GACGAACGCUGGCGGCGUGCCUAAUACAUGCAAGUCGAACGCUUUUUCUUUCACCGGAGCUUGCUCCACCGAAAGAAAAAGAGUGGCGAACGGGUGAGUAACACGUGGGUAACCUGCCCAUCAGAAGGGGAUAACACUUGGAAACAGGUGCUAAUACCGUAUAACACUAUUUUCCGCAUGGAAGAAAGUUGAAAGGCGCUUUUGCGUCACUGAUGGAUGGACCCGCGGUGAAUUAGCUAGUUGGUGAGGUAACGGCUCACCAAGGCAACGAUGCAUAGCCGACCUGAGAGGGUGAUCGGCCACACUGGGACUGAGACACGGCCCAGACUCCUACGGGAGGUAGCAGUAGGGAAUCUUCGGCAAUGGACGAAAGUCUGACCGAGCAACGCCGCGUGAGUGAAGAAGGUUUUCGGAUCGUAAAACUCUGUUGUUAGAGAAGAACAAGGAUGAGAGUAAAACGUUCAUCCCUUGACGGUAUCUAACCAGAAAGCCACGGCUAACUACGUGCCAGCCGCCGCGGUAA